Monodelphis domestica (gray short-tailed opossum) is the source of this 423-nucleotide long non-coding RNA. RefSeq lists it as uncharacterized. Lineage: Eukaryota; Metazoa; Chordata; Mammalia; Didelphimorphia; Didelphidae. The record is from RefSeq and is a predicted model, not a curated record.
CUUUUUUGACCCUGGAAAAUUCAUCAUCAUCUCAGUGCCCCAGGAAACUCCAGUGCUAAAAGGUGCAGAAUAGAUGUGAUUGGAAUUGAUAGAAGAGUUUGAAUAUUGCCCAGACAUUGCAACCCUGAGCAAGUCAGGGAGAUUAAUUGUUAAACAUUUACCUGCGCACUGCUGGAUGAAGGUGACUGUCACUUCAGAUAAUAGAGGAAUUCACACUAUGAAACAAAGACUAUAAAGAAUACAGGGAAGUAUGGGGAGACAUAUAAACAGAUGCAAAGUGAAGAACUGGAAGAAGAUACAAAGAUAAACAGACUCUCAGUCCCUACCUUCAAGGAGCUUACCAUCUAAAAGGAUUCUCAAGACCUAACCAUGGACAAAUAGCAUAUGAAUUAGAAUCUGGCACCUUUUUCAUUUUUUAUAAAC